RNAcentral lists this ribosomal RNA (433 nucleotides) under uncultured bacterium. RNAcentral describes it as "bacterial SSU rRNA". It matches the Rfam family "Bacterial small subunit ribosomal RNA", at positions 345 to 773 of the family's 1533-position model. The record is from RNAcentral.
AAGGCAGCAGUGGGGAAUAUUGCACAAUGGGCGCAAGCCUGAUGCAGCCAUGCCGCGUGUAUGAAAAAGGCCUUCGGGUUGUAAAGUACUUUCAGUCGUGAGGAAGGUGUUAAGGUUAAUAACCUUAGCAAUUGACGUUAGCGACAGAAGAAGCACCGGCUAACUCCGUGCCAGCAGCCGCGGUAAUACGGAGGGUGCGAGCGUUAAUCGGAAUUACUGGGCGUAAAGGGCACGCAGGCGGUUAAUUAAGUUGGAUGUGAAAUCCCCGGGCUUAACCUGGGAAUGGCAUUCAAGACUGGUUAGCUAGAGUCUUGUAGAGGGGGUAGAAUUCCAUGUGUAGCGGUGAAAUGCGUAGAGAUGUGGAGGAAUCCGGUGGCGAAGGCGGCCCCUGGACAAAGGCUGACGCUCAUGUGCGAAAGCGUGGGGAGCAAAC